CCACGGGCUCCCAACCGCGCAGCACCCCCGCCUCCGCGCUUCCCCGAGCGUGCAGCUCCCGAUAUCAAAUGGGGCAAAGCAAGAAAAGAGGACUCUGUGGGAGUGCAUUGGAAUUGGAGAUAUAAUAUACACCUACACAACCCGUUCAGCAAGAGAAUUCCAAAGGCAUGUUUUUAAAGAAGGGGCCUCAAGGAGACUGGAUUGAGAUAAGGAGAGCCUGCAAUUAAAGGAGAGUUUUACAAAAGGUUGAAAUGAGAAGGAAAGAAAGAAAGGGGCUUCUAUAAGAAGAGGAGGGAUGGAGCAAGAUGGCAGAAUAGAAGCCUACACCAUUCAUAUUCCCUGCAGAAACACCAAAUUUUAACAACUGGAUACAGAAAAGCACCAUCACAGGUACCAAAACUCAGGUUGCUCAUGCUGGGGGAAGCUAGCCAUCAUGUCAUGCCGACACUCAAGUAACUCAUAAAGAGGAACUUUUCCAACCAGCACCAUGGCAGAGAGCUGUCUUAUGUUCAGAUUUUCCAGACCCAGUCAACUCUUCUGACGCCUGCAGAAAUGGCUGACAUCCUGACUGCAACAUCUUAAGUGAUCCUAUGGCAGAACCCCCAGUGCCCAGAGAUGCUCUCCGCACCAAGCCACAGAAGUGGAGGAGGCAGG
Long non-coding RNA from Gorilla gorilla gorilla (western lowland gorilla), 654 nucleotides. RefSeq lists it as uncharacterized. NCBI's taxonomy places the organism in Eukaryota, Metazoa, Chordata, Mammalia, Primates, Hominidae. The transcript is spliced from 6 exons. The record is from RefSeq and is a predicted model, not a curated record.